GGGGUUGUAGCUCAGCGGUAGUGCAUCUGCUUUGAAUAUGGAAGGCUCCAGGUUCAAUCCCCAAGAUCUCCA
This is a non-coding RNA of Podarcis lilfordi (Lilford's wall lizard), 72 nucleotides long. The record is from the annotation of a GenBank genome assembly. Lineage: Eukaryota; Metazoa; Chordata; Lepidosauria; Squamata; Lacertidae.